This is an RNA transcript of Carassius auratus (goldfish), 1018 nucleotides long. It is a transcript of the gene named cortexin-1-like, with no coding region annotated. NCBI's taxonomy places the organism in Eukaryota, Metazoa, Chordata, Actinopteri, Cypriniformes, Cyprinidae. The record is from RefSeq and is a predicted model, not a curated record. The transcript is spliced from 3 exons.
CACUUGAGUAAAAGUGUGACAACUAGCCCCGGUUACACGAGUGCGUGUCCCCGAGGACCGCUCCAUCGCGCGCGCGUGCGUUAGGGAUGAACGCGAGAGCGCGCAUAGAGCUAGCAGACCAGCACACGCUCCGGAUCGUCAACACGGGAAUCAGCUGUCAGCACACGAAUCCCAUCCAGAGGAAGUCAGAGCCUGUAUUUACUGGGAAAACCAUCCCAGCUGUGGACCAGGUCUUGAGCGGUUUACGGUUAUACAGCCUGUGCACUUUAAUAUUCCUCACGGAUCUGGUCUCUUCAUGACCUGCUGAAGAGAGCCGGCUUUCCUCUGUCUGAGCUUUCAGUAAUUAUCUCGGACACGUGAAAAUGAAGCUGCGUGGGCGAUCAGUGUGUCACGGCAUGUUUUCUCUCCAUGUACCCUGUCAGGAAGUGUCUCCAUUUAAUAUCAUUGCCAUGUAAAAGAAACAAUUGAGAUUUUAAAGCAAAGUCAUUCUUUCCCAUGGGAUCCUCUCUUCCUCAGAAACUGGACUUGCUUCAUCUCUGAACUGAAAGGCCUCUGAUGGAGUACGAGCUGCAGUCUCUGGGCCCUGUCUCGGGCCCCGGGGCCACGGAGGGGCUUCUGCUGGCUUCGGACACAGAGCAGAUCACGGCUCUGUGUUUCGUGGGGCUCCUGCUGCUGUUUUUGGUGUUCCUGCUGGUGCGCUGUUUCCGGAUUCUCCUGGACCCCUACAGCAGCAUGCCGUCCUCAUCCUGGUCUGAUCAUAAAGACGGUUUGGAGAGGGGACAGUUUGAGUACGCACUCGUCUAGAUGAACAAUUACAAACUGUCUGUUUGUUAUAAUAUAUAUAACUAUGAACAAUAUAAUAUUUUGUACUUUAAUAUAAUAUUUUUCAUUAUUUUUGUAACAUUUCCACCCCAAAAUGUUGAAUUCUGGAAUGGACAAAAUAAUAUUUUAAUUAAACUUUUAAAUAUCUAAUCUAAUCUAAUCUAAUAUAUAUCAAGCUAACAUGUCAAGAACACAC